RNAcentral lists this ribosomal RNA (341 nucleotides) under uncultured bacterium. Its description in RNAcentral is "partial 16S ribosomal RNA". It matches the Rfam family "Bacterial small subunit ribosomal RNA", at positions 329 to 686 of the family's 1533-position model. The record is from RNAcentral.
GUCCAGACUCCUACGGGAGGCAGCAGUGGGGAAUAUUGCACAAUGGGGGAAACCCUGAUGCAGCAACGCCGCGUGGGUGAAGGAGCGUUUCGGCGCGUAAAGCCCUGUCAGCGGGGAAGAAGAAAGACGGUACCUGACUAAGAAGCCCCGGCUAACUACGUGCCAGCAGCCGCGGUAAUACGUAGGGGGCAAGCGUUAUCCGGAUUCACUGGGUGUAAAGGGAGCGUAGACGGCGACGCAAGUCUGGAGUGAAAGCCCGGGGGCCAACCCCGGGACUGCUCUGGAAACUGCGGCGCUGGAGUACGGGAGGGGGAGGCGGAAUUCCUGGUGUAGCGGUGAAA